Molecule: long non-coding RNA, 464 nt
Organism: Magallana angulata
Lineage: Eukaryota; Metazoa; Mollusca; Bivalvia; Ostreida; Ostreidae
Exons: 3
Source: RefSeq, a predicted model, not a curated record
UCAUAAAAAUUAAUGAUACAUAUCAAAUAAACAAGUAUACAAACUAGGGUAAUUAUUGAAAUACUCAUAUAUGUUAAAUUAAUUAGCCUUUAGUAGCCUUUAUCAACAAUUAUGGAAUAUUUCCGUCUCUAUGUUAUAUUGAAACACUUGGCACAAAUCAAAAUGUUAUCCGACAAUCAACAUGUUUAUUUUAAUCCAAUUUUCCUUCAUUGCUUUUUCAAAUAUCGUUUAUACAUGUACAUCCACGGAGUUGACUGGGGUAUGCUCAAACGGUUCAGAUGGAAGUCGCUUGGAGUGUUGUGAAAACUAUCGAGCCGUUGGAAACUCUUGUGAAGAAUGUUUGCCGGGAACUCAUGGUGUAGAUUGUAGGGACUACUGUCCUCCAAACUUCUACGGCAGAUUAUGCUCAAAGAAAUGUGGCUGUGAACCAUGUGAUAAUGUCACAGGAUGUUUAAAUGCAACGG